This 215-nucleotide long non-coding RNA is filed under the name Carica papaya (papaya). RNAcentral's name for it is "long non-coding RNA (CPAP_LNC011144)". Lineage: Eukaryota; Viridiplantae; Streptophyta; Magnoliopsida; Brassicales; Caricaceae. The record is from RNAcentral.
UAAGUCUUCCUGAUCUGAAAUAGUUAAAUAAGGAAUGAGCUACAUUAGUCCAGUAAAGACGUCACACUAUAUUACUGUCACAGAAGUAAAGGUUGGUAGAAAAACAAAAAGGACCAAUGGAGCACAAUUUUUAACAAAUUCAUUAAUCAAUAAUAAAACCAUUUUACUGUCCACUUACCUCAGUGAGAUUUAUGAAAACGACCCAUAGAAAUAAU